AGUGAACGCUGGCGGUAGGCCUAACACAUGCAAGUCGAACGGCAGCACAGUAAGAGCCUGCUCUUACGGGUGGCGAGUGGCGGACGGGUGAGGAAUACAUCGGAAUCUACUUUUUCGUGGGGGAUAGCGUAGGGAAACUUACGCUAAUACCGCAUACGACCUACGGGUGAAAGCAGGGGAUCUUCGGACCUUGCGCGAUUGAAUGAGCCGAUGUCGGAUUAGCUAGUUGGCGGGGUAAAGGCCCACCAAGGCGACGAUCCGUAGCUGGUCUGAGAGGAUGAUCAGCCACACUGGAACUGAGACACGGUCCAGACUCCUACGGGAGGCAGCAGUGGGGAAUAUUGGACAAUGGGCGCAAGCCUGAUCCAGCCAUACCGCGUGGGUGAAGAAGGCCUUCGGGUUGUAAAGCCCUUUUGUUGGGAAAGAAAAGCAGCAGGUUAAUACCCCGCUGUUCUGACGGUACCCAAAGAAUAAGCACCGGCUAACUUCGUG
RNAcentral lists this ribosomal RNA (492 nucleotides) under uncultured bacterium. RNAcentral describes it as "partial 16S ribosomal RNA". It matches the Rfam family "Bacterial small subunit ribosomal RNA", at positions 29 to 507 of the family's 1533-position model. The record is from RNAcentral.